CACCAGGAUACAGUAGACCACUGGAUGGCAACAUCUCAAAGGUGAGUAGCUGAGAGUUGCCCCUUCAACAUCUUCAACAACAUCUUCCCACUGGAGUUCAUUCUCUCUCUCACAGCUUUAUCGGAGUGGAGCCGGAGCCACAGCUCACAGCUGGACACCAACUCAAGAUGAGGACCCGCUCGAGGUGCACAUGGUGCUGCUGGAACUGGAAGAUGUGGAGAAACGGAUCCGUGAGCUACUCGACAAGCAGGCCCAGCUGCUUGAGCGAAGAACCGCGCUAGAAACAUCUUGUGCUUCUGCCUACGUAUCCAAGGGACUGUGCACCCAAGACUUUUCCAGCCGAGGUCUCCGUCACACCGGCGCCGACACACCACGGACCUUGGGUGCACCAGCAGCAAAAGGCGAGAGCCAUACCCCACACAAGGACUUUUCGAGAUCCCAACCAGGAACCGCUUCACCCCUCUCCGUCAGAUCAGACCAGACGCUGUGAUCAUCGUGGACUCCAUUGUGCGAAACG
Molecule: long non-coding RNA, 517 nt
Organism: Ictalurus punctatus (channel catfish)
Lineage: Eukaryota; Metazoa; Chordata; Actinopteri; Siluriformes; Ictaluridae
Source: Ensembl